Molecule: transfer RNA, 68 nt
Filed under: Marmota monax (woodchuck)
Lineage: Eukaryota; Metazoa; Chordata; Mammalia; Rodentia; Sciuridae
Description: tRNA.Ala
Rfam family: tRNA (bases 5-61)
About the family: Transfer RNA (tRNA) molecules are approximately 80 nucleotides in length. Their secondary structure includes four short double-helical elements and three loops (D, anti-codon, and T loops).
Source: RNAcentral
GUUAUAGCUCAGUGGUAGAGCACUUGCCUAGCAUGCAUGAGGCCCUGGAUUUGAUUCCUAGCCUGACA